This 2726-nucleotide unclassified non-coding RNA is filed under the name Anneissia japonica. Its description in RNAcentral is "uncharacterized LOC117123081, transcript variant X3". The record is from RNAcentral. Lineage: Eukaryota; Metazoa; Echinodermata; Crinoidea; Comatulida; Comatulidae.
UUAACCCCUAAAUACCCAAGCCUGGUGACGGAACCACGAAUGUUACAAGAGUUGUUUUUUUUUCUGCUAAUUCGGAAUAAAUAAUAUUUUAUAGGCCUAAGUGGUAUUUUAUUGCAAGGAAAGGAAAUCCUGUUGGUGUAUAAAAUAAACGUAACUCGGGUGAAAUCAUUAACACAGUGUUUUUCAGAAGAUUUUCUAAAAUGACGCAUUUCAACAAAAAGUCUUGAAAAGUCGAGAUCCACGUUUGGUAACUAAACAUUAAUGGCCACCAUGUAUAAAUUGCCAAGAGGCGGCAGAUCAUGUAUCUGCAGAACAUAGAAGCCAUCAAAACGGAGGUUUGGCGAGAUCGACACAAAUACAGAGUACUGUCGCCUGACCACCAGAUACAUGGCCGGAUAUUUCUGGUGACAUCACUACUGUUACUGAUAAAGGUCCAGGCAAUAUCAGCUCCACCGACAACUCUUGACAUCCCAUCAAACGUUCCAGCCACCUCAGCUACAUCAUCUGACGACAUACCUUCCUACAGUGGACACUACUUCAAAGAUGUCCCCACGGCAGCAGCAACUAUUAUUAUCACGGUCUUUGCGGCCGUGUUCAGUUACGGUCUGUCUGUCAUUAUUAAUGUCUUCUGUCCAGAUCAGUGUGACCACAGGGGCAGCUGUGCACCCAAGAACACUACGGUGUUUUGCAGACGCUAUAAAAGAACAAUCACACCUUCAUUAAAUAAUGGCGAAAAAGAACUGUAUCCACAUCAACCCUCGAUUACGAUUAUUGGAAUACCGAAUGGAAGACCUAAUCAUAACAAGAAUGUGCAGACAUGGCUCGAACAAGUUGACCACACGAUUGGUGUACCAGAAGAGCCCAUCAGUAGUGGUGACGGGGAGGUUGAACCUGCUACAUUGACUUAUGAUAAUAAAGUUAACCAAGCAGUCGUUGAUGCAAAAAUGCCGUCUUCAGAUAUUAGCGGGAAUUGUGCAAAUAAAGAAGGUUACCAAAUGUUUGUUGUUGCACCUGCUACAGAUGUGACGAACGAUCAAACGACAGGUAGGCAAACGCUCAAUAUAGAAACUGAUAAAACUGCAGUUAAACAAGGAACAGCGGCGAAUGAAACACCGAUGAAAACAAAUCAUACACACAUCAUACAGGCAGAAAUAAAUUGGUACCCGUCCAAAGAAAAGGCAGCCAUUACAUUAAGGGAGGGUAUUACUUCAGAUCCGGAAGUGGACAUAGAGGUUAAGCAGAAAGCUUGGAACAGGGAAACUUUGAAUAAAAGCAGCAGCAGUGACGCGAAGGAAAGUGAACCAUUAUUACAAUCUCCUUUACAGGGUGGUUCUCCUCUAUCAUCACAAACGCUUGUCACUAACCAGGGACGUCCUCUCAGUAUCACAUUGGAAUCGAUAAGGACAGAAGAUACAUUCAUCGAAGAAGGUCCCAGCAAAGACGAGGAAGAACAAUCCUUCGUACCGUUCAAUGAGGACGUUGUGUUGAAACCACCGACGUCAGAUAAUCUUUAUCCAUAUGUUUCAUCAAUGCAGAAUAUGGAACGUGAAGAAAAGGAAGACACGAAAGACAAAAAUCAUGAAAACAGCGGAGGAAACAGCACUGUUAGAAACUGAGAGUACCAGGGAAUUUAAUUGCAAUAUCAUUUCGGAAAUUAUUUCAGUUUCAAAUACUCUAAUUAUUUCAUUGCUAAAAAGUGUGUUCAGCCAAUUAUACUUUGAUGAUUUUGUUUCUAUAAUAGUACAUUGCUGUAAUAAAACAUAAAAUUAAAUACAAUUUAUGCAGUUCUGAUUUAAAAAAUAUAUUGAGUUUGAUCAGCUUUGCAGCUCUUUACCCCUUAUGCUUAGACAUUAUUGAUUAUGGGGACCGGGUGUCAAAAAGUAGCGAACUAUAUAAUAACUGUGUCAAUUCGGCAGAAAUUUCUAUUAAAAUAAAAAUUGUAUUGGCAUUUUAAUCACAUCUUGCUGUUAUUACAUUGUGAAAAGGUCCAAAAAAUUAUGAUCACGACCCACCCAGAAAAAAUCCUCUAUACACCCCUGUGGCUCAGGGACGUAACACAUUGAUGUCAAAAAUAAAAACCUAUAUAGCACCAGUUACCUUUUAUAACCUAAGACCUCUUGAGAGUUACCAUACACGUAAAUAAACAAAGUAAAUACCAUUAUAGGCCUAAUGUAUCAGGAGACUCUCGAGAGUCAACAUAUGGGGUAUCAGACAAAGCGUCUACUGGAACUAUUUUCCUGGACAUUUUAGGCGGAGUCUCAUAUUUCUGUCGGUGACAAUGCAUGUAAAUAAAAUACGAUGUAUCUUCAAUAGCAUUAUGUCAACAUACACUGUGCAAUGUAACCAUGGCAGCAGCAAUACAUAAAAUGGUUUCUUUUAGAGUAGACCUAUUAUUUCAUUUGCAACCAAAAGGAAAUUUCCAACUACAUGGUCAAAAUAAAUUGUGAAGAUACUUAGAAUAUGAAGUCUGUAAAAUAUGCUCUCUCCUAAAUUAUAAACUUUAAAAGUCAUAAAAAAAAAACAAAAAAAAAAACAAAAAAAAAAACUGGUACUGAAUUUGAAUGUACAGCAAUGGGACAGCUAGCAUCAAGCUAAACCUCUACAUCAUACUCAUUAUCAUACAAAUAAAUAAUCAACAACAGUAAAAGAAGUCGGGCUUAUAAAAAGUAUUUCUGUAAUUAAAUCGAUUUAUUAAUAAAAAAAGUAAUUUAUAUUUUCUCCAAUUA